Long non-coding RNA from Bacillus rossius redtenbacheri, 3834 nucleotides. RefSeq lists it as uncharacterized. The transcript is spliced from 2 exons. The record is from RefSeq and is a predicted model, not a curated record. Lineage: Eukaryota; Metazoa; Arthropoda; Insecta; Phasmatodea; Bacillidae.
GCACCUCCCUUUGUUACACUAAUAAUUCUAUCUCUCUCUUUCUUUAAUUUAUUGUUGAAGUAGGGAGAGAAGGCAGUACAGGGUGGAGGAAAAAAGUGUAGGUACUGUGUUGUUGAUACCUUCGUAAACUUAAUAAUAUAACAUUGCAUAAAAACCUCAGAAACAAUGCUCUAACAAAUAAACAAUAGUAGACGGUAACAACUGACGAAUCCAAUCUGUAGUUUACUAUGGAAAUAUAUAGUAUUUUAAUUAUGGAGUAAGAAAUUUGUAUAUUAUGUGGAUAGGAAAUUGAUUAUUUAAAGAGUGGUGAAAAAUCUGAAGUUUAAUAGUUUGAACCAUAGAUAGUAAACAUAACACAGCAACACUUUCAAUAACAAACAUACACUGACAUACAUAACCUGAACCUGACUCUUGAUACAUAUGAAAAUUAACAAUAUUAUUCAACGAUAUAAUUAGGAAUCUUUUGUAAGUUUGAAAAUAUUAUAAGAAAUGUAUAUAUUCAUCCUUUCCAAGUGUGUAUAAGAAUUUAAGGUUGGUGGAGUUAUAACAAUUUUAAUACUCAACAAUAAAAUAUGAAUUUACUUAAAAAUACUUAAUUUAUAUUGUGACAAAUCUUUCCUGGAGAUUAUUUGCAGUUCAAAUGUCUUAGGAUGUAUGUUGGCACAGAUCACACCCAAAAGUUCAAAAGUGAUUUAAUUAAGUCCAGUAGUUGUUUCAAAAUUUAUAUCGUUCAUAAAUCAAAUGAUUUCAAAGUGAGUUAAAAAUUAGAGAGUUUAAUAUCAAAUUAAAUUCUAUUUUAAAUAGAAUUACACGGCUUUAGUUCAGCGGGAGUACGAUUAUCUUAAAAGUAGGACUUCUGGGUGUCUAAGUAGAAUUACUUCUCUUUAUAUUAUGUUAUAUACACAAUCUAAUUGAAGUUCAGUUUUAUCAACUUUUGCAACAAUAUAGUUUGUUUGGCUAGAAAUCUCACGUAUUUAUAAGCAUGUAAGCAAAUUUAUACUGGCCGCUUAAGCCUUGAACAAUGGCGACACUGCUUAAUUAUGGCGUCCCUAGCUAAGCAAUUCUUAAAUUGGCUUAUACUUGACAUAACUGCUUUAAAUCCAAGUAAAUAUUACUUACAGUUCGUUAAGAUAUUUAGUUGUAACAAUUUCAUUAAUGUACACAACCGACGAUACCCUAAACUCAUAUUUUUAAUAAUUUUAAUUGUUCAGGCGUCAGGCCUUAGCCUACACGUAGUAACGCCAAAAAUCACACUUUUUUAAGUUACUUCCUGUUCCUGUGUGGCUGAGAUACGUGUAUACCCAAUAUAUAUGGUUCAUAACAUCCUUUCAUGGCCUUUGGUUACAACAAUACGGUAAGGAACUAGAAUAAAAUUAAUUGAAUUUACAAAUUAAACAGAUGGUCAGAAUAAAAAAAUAAACGGUAAAAAAAAAUUAACGAAAAUUACAACAAUGCAGAUGAAAGAAAAAAAAAUAUUAAUAUUAUUAAAGUUCCACAGAUGAAAAGUUUAUGGUUGUAAUAAGGCGAAAUAUUUACUAAACAUUCAUAGCAGAUAUCUUAAUAAACACGAAGAUGUCUGUGCUAUCACCAUGUAAUAGUACAGAUGCUGUCCCAUGGGAUAAUCAUAAAACGAAGCGAGCACAAAGCAUAAGAUCGCCGGUUUAUUAUUAACCCAUCUGUCUCUCUCACACACAGCAGGUGCGACCGUUACUCGAAGCGACGGUUGAGAAUUGGCAUGGAGGUGGGGGUUGGGUGGCGCGCUAAUCAGCGAUCAACCGGCGGCCGAGGCGUGGCGUGACUGUUCAGUCUCGUGUCAGCCGUCUCGCAGUAGACACCUCGCUGCUUCGCGCUCCGUAAAUGGCGCGAGAACUCCGUCGUCUCGUAGUCGUGCUGUUGAUAGGGUGUUGGGAUGGUGAAGAACAUCAAGCAGGAACAUAGCACUGCGUCGUGGUGUGCUGCCACACACCUGGGCAGGCGAUAACGAUACCUCCACGACACCGCAGGGGGGUGUCGGCUACUGAUCACGGCAACAGGAUGUACCGUGUCGGGUGACCUGCGCUCGUGAGAACUAGUGGCUGACAGUGGCGGGUCCUGACGAUGUCCGCUACAGUGCCGGGCUCGGCUCUCCAGGUGGCCCGUGGGCUGUCCCAGCCCUUGACCAGGGAUGGUAUCAACGGGGAAUAGACGGAGGUCUCAUGCUGACGCCGCUGUGUCAGCAUACGUGGCGUCAACCUAAUGUCUAGUAGGAGCAAGGCCAGCUCCGUCAUCGCACCGCUAAGUAUAUUUCCGUGUUCUACACUCGUGGUUAUUUCCGCACUAUGCACACGACAGGUGUGUAUCUAGUAUAUCGCGUUUCCAUAACUCACUUUAACAGUAAACAUAACAAUGUUCUGUGCUGACUGGUUGCUGCUUGAAGUCGCUCUCACAGUAGGAUUGGUGUAAAUAACCAGGAAAGAUUUAAUCACUUUUACGAAAAUUAAUUACUUAAUCAAAAAAAAAUUAUAUUCGUUACGAGAAAUAGCAAAUUGUUUAAAGAAAAUAAAUUCUAGUUGUCAUUAUUGACGUAUUAAUAAUAUACUAUACAUUGCAACAAUAAGAUAAAAUCUUAUUAAUUAUUCAACAUCAAAGUAAUGCUAUAAUUGUGGAUUAUCAUAGGAACACAAUAUUUACACAAUUGUACUGCUAGUUUACUUAUUGGUUGACUAGUCUGUCAGUGGUAUAACCUUAUAUUAGUUUUCUGGUUUUGUUUACAACUUGUAAUUACCAUAUCAAUAAUUAUCAGUGUUGAUUUACACCAUUUUUUUUUUUUUUUUUUGUAAUUAUCCUCAUUAGAUAUCAUGAUAAUGUAGCAUACAAUUGCUAUUCAGCCUAUUUUACUGCUACAUAACAGUAUUAUGAUUGGAAUUUUAUUCCACAAAAAAAAAUAUUAUUCAUAUUUACAAUGGUUUCAACACAGCAUUUAACCUGUGAUUUACUGAGUAAAUUAGUUGACUACUAAUGCAAUUAUCAGUAUUAUUACAAUUUCUUACAACAUAUUAAGAGAUUAUUAAAUAACAUAACACAAGAAAAAUAUUUACACACAAGAUUAACCAGUUGAAAAAUUAUAUACAUAAUUAAAGUUAUACAUAAUUGAAUAUCAUCAUUUCUUAUGAUGCAACAGUCAUUAUUAUUUUACAGUUUGUUACACAUAUUUCAUAACCUUAUCAGUUCUUAUGAUAUCUUGACAGAUAUUAUUAUUAUCCAAGCCUAAAAUUAUUACAUAGUGUUCUACAGAUGAAUAAUAAUUCAGAUGCAGUCUUGGACAAUUUCAGUGUUUUUUCUUGAGUAUGGUGAGGUUUUCAGCUGGUGGUUUACAGUCUCUCACUAUCUUACUCUGGACACAGCUGCACAGUAGAUUACUUGCAGAAUGCUGUUGUCUUGUUAGGUAGGCUGUCAGCUACUGGCUGAUGCGGAGUCUCAUAUCAUUUCAAGAAUGUUCAUGAUCUUCCAGUCAGGUGUUACACCUAUUUACCCUGACAUAUAAAAAUUUCUUGCACUUUUAUACAUUUGUCACAAUUCUGUUACAGUGACUUCCUUCAACAACUGGGCAGCAUAAGAGCGGACUUUCUCUCGCAACACCAGUGUUCCUUGCUACUGUGGAUAACAACUCAGAAGACAAUCACAUCAUCAUGUGCUGCUGAACAACAGUGACGUCACUCGCGUGACAGUGUGAUCCUCAAGAUGACAGUGCUUCGAAUUAUGUGUUACACAUCAAAAUAAUAUUCGGAGUUCAUAAAAUUAAUUUGUGCCCAUAAUUUAUAAAAUCAAAUUCCAAAAUAAAUUAGUUCCAGUGCA